RNAcentral lists this unclassified non-coding RNA (305 nucleotides) under plant metagenome. Its description in RNAcentral is "partial contains 5.8S ribosomal RNA, internal transcribed spacer 2, and large subunit ribosomal RNA". The stretch from base 1 to 105 matches the Rfam family "5.8S ribosomal RNA", at positions 50 to 154 of the family's 154-position model. The record is from RNAcentral.
GAAAUGCGAUAAGUAGUGUGAAUUGCAGAAUUCAGUGAAUCAUCGAAUCUUUGAACGCACAUUACGCCCCUUGGUAUUCCAUGGGGCAUGCCUGUUCGAGCGUCAUUUGUACCUUCAAGCUCUGCUUGGUGUUGGGUGUUUUGUCUCGCCUCUGCGUGUAGACUCGCCUUAAAACAAUUGGCAGCCGGCGUAUUGAUUUCGGAGCGCAGUACAUCUCGCGCUUUGCACUCAUAACGACGACGUCCAAAAGUACAUUUUUACACUCUUGACCUCGGAUCAGGUAGGGAUACCCGCUGAACUUAAGC